ACGCUCGACACCUACGGGAGGCAGCAGGUGGGGAAUAUUGCACAAUGGAGGAAACUCUGAUGCAGCGAUGCCGCGUGAGGGAAGAAGGUUUUCGGAUUGUAAACCUCUGUCUUUGGGGACGAUAAUGACGGUACCCAAGGAGGAAGCUCCGGCUAACUACGUGCCAGCAGGCCGGGUAAUCUGGAGGCCGGGCUGGCAAGGC
RNAcentral lists this ribosomal RNA (202 nucleotides) under uncultured bacterium. RNAcentral describes it as "partial 16S ribosomal RNA". It matches the Rfam family "Bacterial small subunit ribosomal RNA", at positions 328 to 539 of the family's 1533-position model. The record is from RNAcentral.